RNAcentral lists this long non-coding RNA (1283 nucleotides) under Equus caballus (horse). Its description in RNAcentral is "lncRNA (ENSECAG00000030051.3)". The record is from RNAcentral. Lineage: Eukaryota; Metazoa; Chordata; Mammalia; Perissodactyla; Equidae.
CAGACUCAUACAAGAUAAACUUGAUUAACCUAAAGUCAACUGAUUACAGAGCUUAAUGACAUCAACAGAGAUCCCUCACAUUUGCCGUGCAGCUGAACAGAAACACAGAGCUUAUAUUCCCAAGAUGUGCCAUAUUCUACUGGUUAGAAGCAAGUUUCAGGCCUGCCUGCACUCAAGGGAGAAGAUUAUACAAGUGAAACAGCACAGAUCAAGAGCAGACGAGAAGAAACACGACUGGUGUGGACGUGCUGCUUCCCGUUAUUUCUUGAGGAAGGAAACACUGAGAACUGAUUUGGAGGCCACUAUGCAUCGUUUACUACUUUUCCAUGGAGGCUGGAAAUAAAAAAAGAUCAUGCCAUUAGAGGCUAAAUUGUGAUACUUCUAUCGACACAGUGAACUAUCACUCUCUUGUGAGGAAGAAUAAGGAAGAACUUGAUGACGUCAGACUGCGUAACUUCUGGGCAAAAGAAGAAGAGUCAAUGUGGCUAGCUCUCUUUUCCGUAGGAAGAAGGUGAAUAAGAACAUGCAGGCACGUUUGUUUAAUUUCUUCAAGGGAACUUGAGAAUGAAUACGAACUCAUCUCUCAUUUUAUUGUGAUUCACGUCAUUGUGCUUUGCAGAUACGGCAUUUUUUACAAGUUGAAAGUUUGUGACAACUCUGCAUUGAGCAAGUCUGUCAUUGAUAUUUUUCCAACAUUUGCUCACUUUGUGUCUCUGUCAUAAUUCCUGCAAUACUUCAACCUUUUUCAUUAUUAUUAUAUUUGUUAUGGUGAUCUGUGCUCAGUGAUCUGUGAUCAGUGAUCUUUGAUGUUACUAUUGUAACUAUUUUGAGGCGUCACAAACUCUGCCCAUAUAAGAUGGUGAACUUAAUUGAUAAGUGUUGUGUGUGUUCUGACUGCUCCACCGGCUGAUUCCCCGUCCCCACCACCCCAGUCUGUCUCCCUGUCCUGGGGCCUCCCUAUUCCCUGAGACACGACAAUAUUGAAAUUAGGCCAACUAAUAAUCCUACAAUGACCUCCAAGUGUGCAAGUGAAAGGAAGAGACACAAAUCUCUCACUUUAAAUCAAAAGCUAGAAAUGAUUAAGCUUAGUGAGGAAGGCAGGUCGAAAGCAGAGAUGAGCCAAAAACUAGGCCUCUUGUGCCAAACAGUUAGUCAAGCUGUGAAUGCAAAGGAAAACUUCCUGAAGGACAUUGGAAGUGCUACUCCAGUGAACACAUAAGCAGUAAGAAAGUGAAACAGCCUUACUGCUGAUGUGGAGAAAAUUUUAGCAAUCUGGAGAGAAG